This is a small nuclear RNA of Octodon degus (degu), 108 nucleotides long. The record is from Ensembl. NCBI's taxonomy places the organism in Eukaryota, Metazoa, Chordata, Mammalia, Rodentia, Octodontidae.
GUGCCUGCUUUGGCAGCACAUAUACUAAAAUUGAAAUGAUAUAGAGAAGAUUAUCAAGGUCCUUAAGCAUGGAUAAAAUCAGGCACAAGACAAGGAUGUCCACUGUAA